GUUUCUUGAAGAGGAGAAGAGAGGAAAUGAACGAGGAAGAGGAGAAGGGAGCACAGAGGCGAGGGGCGAGAAGACAAAGUGCCUUCAUCUUCUUUGAAUCCCAUCGCCCCGUUCGGUCUUACUCGACUCGGAAACAAAGGUUCGAGGAUCUUGAAGAUGGAGGUAUCUGCGCUGGUGUUGGCUUGUGGCUUGAGGGUGGGAGCUGAUGAAAGGUACAAGAUUUGGUGUUGUAUUGGCAAUCCGUUGGCAUUGCAUUAUGCUUCCGAGGCCAAGUGCUUCACAGUGCCGUCUUCAGCAGAGGGCUGGAGCUGAUGGAACCAAUAAUAGGUCCCUGUAUGUCAUCAAGGUCGGACCUGUCCACAAUGCCAAGUGAUUUCUUUUCGAUUCUUACCACACCAUCGCUUUGGUAAGUCGAGUUUACUAAGAGUUUAGUUUAAUGAGACAGUUAGUUAAAUAAUGUCUAAAUGAUUCUACUAUAGUUGAUCUAUCAGUUAGUUAAUGACACAGUUAAUUAGUCGAGAUAAAUGGUACUAAAAAUUGUUCAAUAAUGUUAAUUUCAGUUUUGAAAAUCCUAAUGGUUCUAAACGAUCAAAUAUGAGUCGCAAAUGUGUUUAUCAAAGAGAUUCUUCAAAGUAGCAGUCUGGAUUGAUGCAGAAUGAUAUUUGAGAAAGUUUCUUUGAUGUCCAUGCAACUUCUUAUUAAUGUUCUUCGUUGGGACUCUCACUACCAACCACAAUGAAUCAUAAUUAUGUAGAAGUUUCUCUAAACUAAAGAUCCGGAAGUACACUGUCAAGCUUGGGUAGCUUCUUAGCAUAUACUUCGAGACUGAGUAGCGAUAUUAUCAGACAAAUAGGAUGGAUGGAUCACAGCAACACUCAUCAAUAUGAAAAGAGGCAAAAUCAUCACAAAAACCAUAAGAACAUAGUGCUGCAACACCCAUAUAGCCGAAUACUUACAAGCAGACAGCUAGAGUGGCCCUCUGUGCAUCUUCACUGUAGUGCCAGAUUUAUUUUGCUGGAGCAUUGUUGGGAACUAGCUUAUUAAGUAAAUGUUUUUUUUUUCUUUAGAUUAUUAGUUAUCAAAUUCAUCAUGGCAAUCAGAGUUCUGCAUUCACUAUCUCCCUCACCUCACAACAUGGAACUUGUGGUUCGUUUUAACAUUUCCUUCAGUGAUGUACUUACAUGUGAUGACAUGAAUUUAUGCAUCUUC
Musa acuminata AAA Group (dessert banana) is the source of this 1209-nucleotide long non-coding RNA. RefSeq lists it as uncharacterized. Lineage: Eukaryota; Viridiplantae; Streptophyta; Magnoliopsida; Zingiberales; Musaceae. The transcript is spliced from 3 exons. The record is from RefSeq and is a predicted model, not a curated record.